CAUUCUGGUCACCGCGCUUUGGUUUCUCAGAUAGCAUGAACAAACACCUUGAUAUGAAGGAGAGGACUAAUCACAGUUAUGUUCAAGUUUUGGGUCCAAUCAACUGGCCAGGUGGCUUACAAGCACCCCCAAAGGGGUGGACUCUUGUCGAUGAAGAAAGACCCUUGAAGAUAGGGAUUCCAGCGAGGGGUGCCUUCAAUCAGUUUGUGAAAGUAACAUAUGACCAGAACACGAAUCAAACACGCAUCACAGGGUUUUCAAUUGAUAUGUUUGAAGCAGCUGUCAAAAACCUGCCUUAUCAUAUGCCUUAUGUGUUUGUUCCCUUCAAUGGCUCAUAUGAUGAAUUGGUGGAACAGGUCUACUACAAGGUACACGUUAUUAUUCUCGUAGAGUAAUCCCAGGUCCAAAAGACAUAGGUUUUGAGUCCCCUUAUUGUCUAACAUGGUAUCAAAAAUGCAACAUUGAAGUGUCUUUGACACAAUAUGACACAUAUCAAUCCUGUAUGGCUUUAACAAGGGUUCUGUAGACAUUGAUAUAUGACAAUUUUACUAAUGUAAAACAGGGCUUGGAUGCAGCUGUUGGUGAUAUAGAAGUCAUAGCUUACCGGUAUCAUUAUGUUGAGUUCUCACAACCAUAUAUAAGCUCUGGACUUGAGAUGAUAGUCCCUGUAAAGUCAGAUAAGCUGAAGGAAAAAUGGAUGUUCAUGAAGGCCUUCAGCAAAACCAUGUGGUUUCUCAUGAUCAUUAUACAUCUAUCUGUAUGCUUUGUCGUCUGUUUUAUUGAAAAUGAGCAUGGCCAAAACUUUGAAUUAAAGAGAAUUGGGGACAUCCUGUGGUUCUCUGUCACCGUCUUAUUUUUCGCGCAAAGUAAGUCUAUGUGUAAGCUAGUAUCUUAAGUUUUUAAAGUUGAGUGAUUGUCUUAACAUGCAACUAUAAUAUGCAGGAGAACGAGUCCAGAGUAAUUUGGCAAGGCUGGUAUUGGCUCCAUGGUUACUAGUGAUUCUACUAGUAGUGGCCACUUUCACAGCGAGCCUCUCUUCCAUGAUGACUAUCUCUCGAGUCCAGCCAUCUGUGCUCGAUGUGGAAACACUGAAGAAAGGAAAUGGAACUGUUGGACGUAACGGCAACUCCUUUAUCGUAAGGUACCUUAUCGAUGUUCUAGAGUUCAGACCAGAAAACAUCAAGAGAAUUUCCGCCAUAAGUGACUACCCAAAGGCCUUUGAGAGUGGAGAAAUUCAAGCAGCUUUCUUCGUUGCGCCCCAUGCUAAAGUCUUCCUCGCAUGUUACUGCAAGGGCUAUAUGAAAGCAGGUCCGAUAUACAAGCCUAGCGGCUUUGCAUUUGUGCGUAACUCUCCCUCCUUUGUCUUUUUCUUUGAGAUAUUUUGUCGAACAUCUGGCUAAUAGUGAGUCUUUAGAAAACCAACUAGUAACUGAUCAUUGGGGCAUUUUCCAAUUGUUUGAUUCAGGUUUUUCCAAAGGGGUCUCCUCUGGCCAUUGACAUGUCAAAGGCAAUCGUAGAAGUAAACGAGAAGAAGCAAGUGGAGCUAUUAGAAAGACAAAUGCUCUCCUCCUUCAACUGUUCCCCUUCACUCAACUCGAACGAUGGUCCAAUAGGUUAUGAGCCCUUUUCUGGCCUAUUUCUAAUCUCAGGUUUGGUUUGUGCAUUUGGGCUUCUGGUUACGAGCGGGCGUAAAGCCGAUAGGCUUCUACACAAUAUGAGCUGCAUACGAGCAAUACUAAUCAAAACAAGAACUCUGACAUGGGUUUUUCUGUACUUGAAUCAGAGCUACAGACAAUCUCAAAAGCAUUGCUCCACAAGCUCCAUUCUAGAAACUUGCUCUACAAGGAACAUGAGUAGUGGUGUUAUAGUGAUUUAGGACUCAUCUGUCAAAUUGUAUAAAAAAAAACUUAGGAGUAACUAUUUACAUGAUAUAGAUUAAAUGAAAUGAAUAGUUGAUGAAACACUUGAGAUUCAGAGAAAAAAAAUGUAAGCAUGUUAGUGAAGUCUCUUGUACUAAAUCUGUAUUGAUUACAAGCACUACAUUUUCAAGAAAAAGAAAGGUUUUGUUUCAGAAAAUGUAAUCAGAUGAAACAGGUAGAAGCUAUUACAUAAAUUGGGGAAUGUUGGCACAUCUAACGUUGUUUGGUCAUCUUCACAAGGGCAUUUCCUAGUUGACGUAGGAAUAGAUGAAUACUCAAUGGAAAUGCAGUAAAUGUACAUAACUGCUAUUACAUUGUUAAGCUUUACUCAAUUGAAAUGGACAUCAGUACUUGAUACAUUAAGAUUGCUAGUUUUCUCUAAGAAAAUGACAUUAAAGUGCAUUUUGGAGAAAUGUACAUAACUGCUAUUACAUUGUUAAGCUUUACUCAAUUGAAAUGGACAUUAGUACUUGAUACAUUAAGAUUGCUAGUUUUCUCUAAAAAAGUGACAUCAAAGUGCAUUUUUGAGAUUAUGAAACCAAUUUUGGAUGGGGAAAGCCAUUGAUGGAAUUAUUGAACCGGUUAAGUACAGGUUUUUGAGUUCACCAAAUGAUGUUACGUACAGGUUUUUGAGUUCACCAAACGAUAUUGGGAUGGAAUGGAAAAAAAAAUUCUGGCAAAGACAAGAGAGUCAUGUUAGAUUUCCAGCCCCAAUACCAAAUUUAUGAACCGGCCCAAAAUAACAACUUGAAGGGAAAGAAACGUUCCUUGACGUAAUCAAUACCGUGACGUAAUCAAUAUCGCAGCCGAUUUUCUUGGCAACCUCAGGAUGAAAAGGUAGCAACCUCUCAAGAACAGUCUUUUGAUGCUCAGGACUCAACCUAUCCCCACUCUCAUACUUUCCAGAGUGAAGAAUCAUCCUCACAAACCCAACCAGCGGAACAGUAUCUUCUAGAAUCUUAUCUUCCCAAUCAACCCAUUUCCCAUCCUCUCCCUCAUCUUCCUCCGAAUUCCCAUCCAAGUAGACCUGUAAAUGGACCGGAUCUGGAGCGGAUCUACCUAGAUCCAGAUCCGGAUCCGUAAUAAAAAUUUUGGAUCCGGAUCCGACCCGUUACCCGCCGGAUCUUUGAUAGCUAGAUCCAAAUCCGGAUCCGGCGGGUUAACGGAUACCCUACCCAUUAAUCCGAUCCGUUUAUAAUUAUAAAUAUUUUCAAAUUUUAAAUAAUAAUUUCUUAAUUUUAUCAUAAAUUUUCAUAAAACACUAAUAAAAUAUUAUAACAAAAUAAAGAUUUACAUACAAAAUUGAAUUACAUGGUCAAAAUACUCGUUAACAAUAAACUAAUAUAUUCAAAAUAUUAACCUCCAAUGUAUUUAGCAAAGAGCAUAAAAAGAACAUAGACAUCAGUAACCUUCAACUUUAUCAAAUGAUCAUAUUCAAAUAAUUAUUAUAUUAUUUAAUAUUUAUCAAUAAUAUUAUAUUUAUAAAAUGUUAUUUAAUUAUUUUAAAACGGACCCGGGUCCUAAACGGAUCGGAUCAACCUCGAUCCGUAUCCGAUCCGUUUAAUAAACGGGUUACCGGAUCCGGGUCCUUAACGGAUCAACGAGUCUAAUUUUCAAUCCAAACCUGUUUAAAAACCACGGAUCCGGAACGGGUCUGGAUCAAGAUCCGGUCCAUUUACAGGUCUAUAUCCAAGUCCGUCACCACCGGCUUCCGCAGCAGCUCCAGCCCGUCUGCCUCCUGCCGCCCGGCCCCGGUCUUCAGCGCACAUAAGCGGGUGCGGAGCAACGACGUCGUUUUGGAGAAGGAUAGAGUUGCUGGACCAAUCAGAGCGUGGGAAGAGGAGGUGAGGUGGUUGUGGACGAGCAGCGGUGGUUUGGAGAGAGAGGCCAUGUUUGGAGUGGUAGCGAUUUGAGCUCAAUUCGUUGUUCUCUCCAAGUAUUGAAGACCCAUCAUCGUCAAAUCAUCAUCAAUCAGAGUCAGUUGGUUUUGGUUUGCUUGCAGUGUUUUGUAGAUAAAGAACUGAACGAUGCGCGCUCGGCUAGAGAGUCUCCACCUCUGCUUCGCACUUUUGGGCCUUACACCAAAGCCAAGGCCUAACAUAAACAUAACUUAAAUGAUGGACCCUCCAGCCCGCUAGGCCUACGAACCACUCAACCGCCUAGACACAGCACGUGUCGCCUAGCCCGCAGGUUUUUUUUUUCCUUUAACUGAACGAGGCCCAACACAAACAUAAAUGGUUGAUCCCUCAGCCCGCUUGGCCCACGAACCUCUGUACCGCCUAGCAGCAGCACGUGUCCGCCUAGCCCGCAGUUUUUUUUUGUUUUUUUUUUCUUUAAAUCCCGUUCAGUUAAAAAUAAUAAUAAGUGUAAGCUCCCAGGAAUGAAAUCUAUUAAUCUAGGGUUACCAAUAAGUUCUUCAAACUUCAUAACCAUGCCUCCGGCGGUUUUCUCACUUCUCCCUCUCAAACUGGUCGCCGUGAAAACGAACCCCGGAUCAUAGAUGGAUCAUAGAUUCAAAGGAGCACUCAUCGGCGAACAGUAUCGUGCUGAGUCAACGAUCAGAACCACAAUUUACAAACAGCUCACUUGCCUGCUAAAUCUUUAAAGCGAUUCAGCUCCGUUUCUAAACGUUCCGGAUUUCUAAUCUCUGACCCAGAGUUCGGUAAAACGCACUAUGAAUUAUCUUCCAAGUGCCAAACCCUAACUCACAUGUUAGAGUUAUAUCUAAUGUGGACUCAAGAUUAACACAUGAGAGUCCAACAUAUAUAAAUAUCUUGUGAAAUAAGUAAAUGAGGUUAAUAGAUAAUACUUAACUUGGAUAUUUACCUUAUUAAUCUGAUUAGAUAAAUACAAGGAGUUUGAGAUAACAUAGAAUAUAUGUUAUAGUUAUCACAUAAGGUAAUUGAUUGGUUUAUUAGAGUUGCCUUGUGAGUUGCCUUGUGUAAGCUCAUUCUACGCCUGUAAGUUUUUCAUACUCACUGUGAAAAGGUAAUCUGGAGAAUUACACAGAAGACUUCCUCUACUCUAGCUUGAUGGCAUUGAACAUGAACAACCAAGGUUGGUGCUUCUAAUUCUUAUACAUGUUUAUAUGUUCUUGUUUUGCUGAAACAUGAUGCAAUGUGUUUAUAUUUAUAUGUGGUUUUCAGUCACAGUCGUCAGACUCCUAGUAAUCGAAAAAUACAACCAUGAAGAAGUCACAUAUGCAUCUUAAUUUCAACCUGGAGACGCGGUCGUCCGGAAAAAACAAAUCUCCGGUCAGGAGGGACAACGUUCCGUUCAUGAAACCGGGACAUGGUCUUAACAUGUAUAUGGUCGGCUCAUGCAAGGGUUUGGUAGCCUGUAUAACUGUACGAUAGGAAUUGUAUAUACUCGUAUAUUUGGAACCCAUUGACAAGAUUUUUCAACAAAUUACCUGAACCAGAAAUUAGCCGCGCCGCGUACAAGGUUAUCAGGGUUUUGGUUACGAAAUUCUUGUGUCGAACUCUAGGUUAUAUAUGAAAUGCGACAUUGCGACCCUGAUCACAUGGACAUAACGCCAUAACGGCGCUCAUCUUCUCGUCGAAAGCUGGCGUGUGGAGAAAGAUUGAAACCCCUCUCAAGUUCCACCCGGAGAGUUUCGACCAGGGAGUUCUUCUGAACGAGACACUCCAUUGGAUUUGCGAUGACUAUAAUUCUAUAAAUACACCCAACAAUUUGUUAUUGUUGCUUUUGAUUUGGCAAAGGAAGAAUUCCGGAAAACGAUGCUGCCUAAUAAUAAUACUUCCAGGCAAACCUUAUCGAUGUUUGGUGUGGAGGAGGAGGAAGCCUGUAUGUACUGGCCGUAGCGUGAUUGAAUCUGUUGAGUGUUGGUUAUGAGAGAAUAUUGUGACACUGAUUCAUGGGCUAAGUUGUAUACAUUGAAGCUUGGAGAUAAUAUUAAUGCGGUUGAACCAAUAUCUAUGGGGGUUGUGGGAAUUAGUACAGUUAUGAUGGUAAUAGAGGACAUGUCUCGUUAUUGGGGGAAUGUGUUCAGGAUUGGUCAUGAAGGAGACAAGCACGACUUGUUUAAAGGGAUGCCAGCAGCCAAGAAUAGAUUGUAUAUGAAGAGAGUCUGCUUGGUCCUGGUGAUUAAGUUAUGGAUUGGAAGAGAUCGAAGGCCAAGGUGGGAAGGCUGCUGAGACUGGAAUAUAUAUCCACACAAGCCCUAGAAUCCCUAGAUGAAGGGAGUGACUGCUCAUUCUUUGCAUUAUUGAUCUGCUGGUUAGUUUUUCCGGCCUCAUUUUGGCUCUGUAAUACCGGAAAAUUCUACUAUACCUAUACCUUAUGUCUUAUGAAAUCCUAGGCAAAGUUUCUUCAACUCCUUACCCCAUCACCCCCUUGUAAGCAUUUGUAACCACAUAUUAGUGUCAUGUAUGCCAUACGUUAAGGUAUAGUAGACAAACCCUAUAAUAUUAUGUUUCAAGACUACGUAUUUGAAACCUGUUAUUAAUUUGUCAAUUUUCUUGGUAGCAAUUUUCUUGUCAAUUUCUGAGAAGUAAAUGUAUGAACCAUGAAGUUUUCUGAAGCAACUAAGGCUCCCAUUUGCAUUUGAAGAGUGAACAUGCUAAACAAUUGUGGGGAAUGCUAAAAAUCAAGGUUCUGAUAAUGAGAGCUUGAAGGAAACACGAAAUUGAAAUCAUAAUCAAAGACGAAGAAACAAAGAGAUCAGAAAAGAGAGAAGCAAAACUUUUGUAUUACUGUAUUAGAAUAUGGUUUUGAUGUAUUAGAAAAUACAGAGAAGAAAAAUCUUAUCUAUUUAAUCGGAGAAAUUGCUGGGGAUAGACUUGAUCUCCAAAUUGUCGAUGAAACCACUGAUUUGCUGUGACCAAAGCAUGCUCAAGAACAUUGCACAAACUUGUCUUGGGCUCUUGACCAAAAAAAAAAAACUUGGCUAGGGCUCAUUGAUAAUCUAGGCCUGCUAUAGGAAGUGGGUUAUUGACUGGGCCUAUCUAUACUCUUAACAGGGAAGACAUGUUUAAUAUUAGUCAGGGUCUAAUACAAACCAUUCUUUAGUCCCAACGGAAGAAAAACUGGUUCUGUUGAGUAUUGACUUCUAAACUAACGACUAAUAUGCUGGAUGAUAGUGAUGAACUGAUGAUGAUUAUUUCUCAGCAGAAGCAUCCCGGAAGAAUUGCCAAUAAUAGCAUUUUCAAACUUUGAAUCUUUCUUUGGUUCCUUUCUCAAGUCAUUCAAGAUUCCAAGGUCAAUCAAACCCAUGAUUAUAUUCUCCUAUGAUUCUCAGAAGGAGUAUCAAGCUAAGAAAUUAAGAAAAGUUAUGUCUUGGGGUCUCUUAGUUUCGCUGCUGCUGGUGAGUUCAUCCCUGAUCAAUGGAAGAGGGGACAGAUGUCAAAAGCGCCAACAACACAGAGAUGCAACAAUAGGAGCUGUAGUUGAUUUCACUUCUCGUGUGGGAAAAGAACAGAGAAUAGCCAUGGAUUUGGCUAUCCAAGACCUUCUUCACCCGAGCUGCCUUACAGUAAACUUAGACCUCAGAGAUUCACAAGGCCGUUCUGCUAAAUCAACUUCUGCUGGUAAUUUAUGGUAUUUUCUUUCUGAGGUUUUAGUGUCGAAAACCAUAGUAACAUUACUACUUCACUAGUUCAGUACUCUAAUAUUUGGCCAUCUAAUUUUGUUUUCUUUGGCAGCAAGCAAUCUUCUGAAUGAUAAAAAAGUUGAAGCCAUCAUUGGAACUCUAACCAUGCAAGAAGCAGCUGUAGCCUCUGAGAUCGAAAUUCGGAACGGAAACUUCACCAUUUUAUCACUUAUUUCAACCGCCAUAAAACCAUCUCCAGCCUCACUUCAACUGCCAAAUUAUCUCCAAGUAGCAAAUGACAUUGUUAUCCAUAUACAAUGUUUAGCAGCUUUAGUUGGUCAUUUCCAAUGGAGGAAGGUGACUGCACUUUAUGAACAAAACACCGACUUUUCCUCCAAUUCUGGAAUGAUCACCCUCCUCUCUGAUUCACUUAAAUUGGUCAACUCAGAGAUUGAACACCACCAAGCUUUCCCACCCCUCUCUUUUCUCCCUGAUCCGGAUGCCUUCUUCGAUGAAGAGCUGAAGAAGUUGAGGAGCAAGAGCAACAGGGUUUUCAUAGUCACCCAGUUCUCUUUGGAUUCAGCUGUUUUUCUGUUUCGGAAGGCAAAGGAAAUGGGGAUGAUGGGUAAAGGCUAUGUAUGGAUUGUCACAGAUGAGAUUGCAAGUCUUCUUGACUCUGUUGAUACUUCUAUAAAGUACAAUAUGCAAGGUGUGAUUGGUAUUAAAACCAACUUCAUAGAAACAACUAAAAAUUUCGCGAAGUUUAAAACCAGAUUUCGCAGACUGUAUGGACUGCAAUAUCCUGAAGAAGAAGAAAACUCUAGUCCAAGCAUCUUCGCUCUUCGAACAUAUGACACAGUGCACGCCAUUGCUCUAGCCAUGAAAAAUGCUGCCUCAAAUUAUUUGUCUCAAGAAAUUUUGUCCACCAAAUUCCAAGGUUUAAGUGGCAUGAUGGAGUUCAAGAAUGGAAUGCUAUCCCAAUCACCAACCUUUCAAAUCAUUAAUGUGUAUGGCAGAAGCUACAGCGAGAUUGCAUUCUGGUCACCGCGCUUUGGUUUCUCAGAUAGCAUGAACAAACACCUUGAUAUGAAGGAGAGGACUAAUCACAGUUUUGUUCAAGUUUUGGGUCCAAUCAACUGGCCAGGUGGCUUACAAGCACCCCCAAAGGGGUGGACUCUUGUCGAUGAAGAAAGACCCUUGAAGAUAGGGAUUCCAGCGAGGGGUGCCUUCAAUCAGUUUGUGAAAGUAACAUAUGACCAGAACACGAAUCAAACACGCAUCACAGGGUUUUCAAUUG
This 8767-nucleotide long non-coding RNA is filed under the name Fragaria vesca (wild strawberry). RNAcentral's name for it is "long non-coding RNA (FVES_LNC000836)". Lineage: Eukaryota; Viridiplantae; Streptophyta; Magnoliopsida; Rosales; Rosaceae. The record is from RNAcentral.